CCCUUAGAUGUUCUGGGCCGCACGCGCGCUACACUGACUGCUCCAACAAGUUACCUGGGCUGACAAGCAUCCGGGAAAUCUUGCAAAGGCAGUCGUGAUGGGGAUAGAUUCUUGUAAUUUUUGAUCUUCAACGAGGAAUUCCUAGUAAACGCAAGUCAUCAGCUUACAUUGAUUACGUCCCUGCCCUUUGUACACACCGCCCGUCGCAUCUACCGAUUGAAUGGAGAGGCAAAAUCUUCGGACCGUGACGCUUGGGAGUCAAAUCUCGGGCUGUCGUGGGAAGUGGAUUAAACCUUUCUAUUUAGAGGAAGGUAAAGUCGUAACA
RNAcentral lists this ribosomal RNA (325 nucleotides) under uncultured eukaryote. RNAcentral's name for it is "partial 18S ribosomal RNA". It matches the Rfam family "Eukaryotic small subunit ribosomal RNA", at positions 1470 to 1796 of the family's 1831-position model. The record is from RNAcentral.